CCCUCUUUCGUCUUCGUCCAUCGGUAACUUUACUUGAUGCUAUAUUUUUAUUCACCACAUGAUAUGUGUUUUGCUUGGAGCGUCUUGUAUGAUUUGAGUGUUUUCUUUUUAGUUUACCACAAUCUUCCUUGCUGAACACACCUUUUGGGAGAGACACACAUGAUUCGGAAUUUAUUAGAAUACUCUAUGUGCUUCACUUAUAUCUUUUGAGCUAGAUAGUUUUGCUCUAGUGCUUCACUUAUGUCUUUUAGAGCACGGCGGUGGUUUUACUUUAUAGAAAUUAUUGAUCUCUCAUUCUUCACUUAUAUUAUUUUGAGAGUUCCUUAGAACAACAUGGUAAUUUUCUUUGGUUAUAAAAUUAGUCCUAAUAUGACAGGCUUCCAAGAUUAGUAUAAUAAAAACUUUCAUCUGAAGUGCAUUGAAUACUAAGAUAAGUUUGAUACUUGAUGAUUGUUUUGAGAUAUGGAGGUAGUGAUAUUAAAGUUGUGCUAGUUGAGUAGUUGUGAAUUUGAGAAAUACUUGUGUUGAAGUUUUCUAGUCCCGUAGCAUGCACGUAUGGUAACCGUUGUGUAACAAAUUUGAAACAUGAGGUGUUCUUCGAUUGUCAUCCUUAUGAGUGGCGGUGGGGGACGAGCGAUGGUCUUUUCCUACCAAUCUGUCCCCCUAGGAGCAUGCGCGUAGUGCUUGGUUUUUGAUGACUUGUAGAUUUUUGCAAUAAGUAUGUGAGUUCUUUAUGACUAAUGUUGAGUCCAUGGAUUAUACGCACUCUCACCCUUCCAUCAUUGCUAGCCUCUUCGGUACCGUGCAUUGCCCUUUCUCACCUUGAGAGUUGGUGCAAACUUCGCCGGUACAUCCAAACCCCGUGAUAUGAUACGCUCUAUCACACAUAAACCUCCUUAUAUCUUCCUCAAAACAUCCACCAUACCUACCUAUUAUGGCAUUUCCAUAGCCAUUCCGAGAUAUAUUGCCAUGCAACUUUUCCACCGUUCCGUUUAUCAUGACACGCUUCAUCAUUGUCAUAUUGCCUUGCAUGAUCAUGUAGUUGACAUCGUAUUUGUGGCAAAGCCACCAUGCAUAUUAUUUCAUACAUGUCACUCUUGAUUCAUUGCCCAUCCCGGUGCACCGCCGGAGGCAUUCAUAUAGAGUCAUACUUUGUUCUAGUAUCGAGUUGUAAUCAUUGAGUUGUAAAUAAAUAGAAGUGUGAUGAUCAUCAUUAAUAGAGCAUUGUCCCAAAUAAAAAAAAGAGAAAGGGCAAAUAAAAAAGGAAGGCCCAAAAAAAGAAAAUAAAAAGGGACAAUGCUACUAUCCUUUUUCCACACUUGCGCUUCAAAGUAGCACCAUGAUCUUUAUGAUAGAGAGUCUCUUGUUUUGUUACUUUCAUAUACUAGUGGGAAUUUUUCAUUAUAGAACUUAGCUUGUAUAUUCCAACAAUGGGCUUCCUCAAAUGCCCUAGGUCUUCGUGAGCAAGCAAGUUGGAUGCACACCCACUUAGUUUCUUUUGUUGAGCUUUCAUACAUUUAUAGCUCUAGUGCAUCCGUUGCAUGGCAAUCCCUACUCCUUGCAUUGACAUCAAUUGAUGGGCAUCUCCCUAGCCCGUUGAUUAGCCGCGUCAAUGUGAGACUUUCUCCUUUUUUUGUCUUCUCCACAUAACCCCCAUCAUCAUACUCUAUUCCACCCAUAGUGCUAUAUCCAUGGCUCACGCUCAUGUAUUGUGUGAAAGUUGAAAAAAGUUUGAGAUUACUAAAGUAUGAAACAAUUGCUUGGCUUGUCAUCGGGGUUGUGCAUGUGAGAGCAUUCUUGUGUGACGAAAAUGGAGCAUGACCAAACUAUAUGAUUUUGUAGGGAUGAACUUUCUUUGGCCAUGUUAUUUGGAGAAGACAUAAUUGCUUAGUUAGUAUGCUUGAAGUAUUAUUAUUUUUAUGUCAAUAUUAAACUUUUAUCUUGAAUCUUUCGGAUCUGAACAUUCAUGCCACAAUAAAGAAAAUUACAUUGAAGAAUAUGCUAGGAAGAAUUCCACAUCAAAAAUUCUAUUUUUAUCAUUUACCUACUCGAGGACGAGCAGGAAUUAAGCUUGGGGAUGCUUGAUACGUCUCCAACGUAUCUAUAAUUUUUGAUUGUUCCAUGCUAUUAUAUAUUCUGUUUUGGAUGUUUAAUGGGCUUUAUUAUACACUUUUAUAUUAUUUUGGGACUAACCUACUAACCCAAGGCCCAGUGCAAAUUGCUGUUUUUUUGCCUAUUUUAGUGUUUCGCAGAAAAGGAAUAUCAAACGGAGUCCAAACGGAACGAAACCUUUGGCAAUGUGAUUUUUGGAACAAACGUGAUCCAGAGGACUUGGAGUGGACGUCCAGAAACAACCGAGGAGGCCACGAGGCAAGGAGGCGCGCCUGCCCCCCUGGGCGUGCCUCCCACCCUCGUGGGCCCCUCGUGGCUCUCCUGACCGACUUCCUUCGCCUAUAUAUAUUCAUAUACCCCGAAAACAUCCAGGAGCACCACGAAACCCUAUUUCCACCAUCGCAACCUUAUGUGUAUCCGUGAGAUCCUAUCUUGGGGCCUUUCCGGCGCUCCGCCGGAGGGGGCAUCGAUCACGGAGGGCUUCUACAUCAACACCAUAGUCUCUCCGAUGAUGUGUGAGUAGUUUACCUCAGACCUUCGGGUCCAUAGUUAUUAGCUAGAUGGCUUCUUCUCUCUCUUUGGAUCUCAAUACAAAGUUCUCCUCGAUCUUCUUGGAGAUCUAUUCGACGUAACUCUUUUUGCGGUGUGUUUGUCGAGAUCCGAUGAAUUGUGGGUUUAUGAUGAAGAUUAUCUAUGAACAAUAUUUGAAUCUCCUCUGAAUUCUUUUAUGUAUGAUUUGAUAUCUUUGCAAGUUUCUUCAAAUUAUCAGUUUGGUUUGGCCUACUAGAUUGAUCUUUCUUGCAAUGGGAGAAGUGCUUAGCUUUGGGUUCAAUCAUGUGGUGCUCGAUUCCAGUGACAGAAGGGGAAAUGACACGUAUUGUAUUGUUGCCAUCGAGGAUAAAAAGAUGGGGUUUAUAUCAUAUUGCUUGAGUUUAUCCCUCUACACCAUGUCAUCUUGCCUAAUGCGUUACUCUGUUCUUAUGAACUUAGUACUCUAGAUGCAUGCUGGAUAGCGGUCGAUGUGUGGAGUAAUAGUAGUAGAUGCAGAAUCGUUUUGGUCUACUUGUCGCGGACGUGAUGCCUAUAUACAUGAUCAUGCCUAGAUAUUCUCAUAACUAUGCUCAAUUCUAUCAAUUGCUCGAUAGUAAUUUGUUCACCUACCGUAAUACUUACACUACAAAAAAAAGACACAUCCGUGACAUUUUGGGCCGAACGAAUUUUUUUCCUGUCAUACAUAUGACACUUCUAUGACGAUAAUUUUGACAAAACCCGGUAUCGUCAUAGAUGUGGUGG
This 3405-nucleotide long non-coding RNA is filed under the name Triticum aestivum (bread wheat). RNAcentral's name for it is "long non-coding RNA (TAES_LNC000978)". The record is from RNAcentral. Lineage: Eukaryota; Viridiplantae; Streptophyta; Magnoliopsida; Poales; Poaceae.